UGAGGAAUUUUCCGCAAUGGGCGAAAGCCUGACGGAGCGACGCCGCGUGUGGGAUGAAGGCCUUCGGGUCGUAAACCACUGUCGAAGGGGACGAUAAUGACGGUACCCUUGGAGGAAGCCCCGGCUAACUACGUGCCAGCAGCCGCGGUAAGACGUAGGGGGCGAGCGUUAUUCGGAAUUAUUGGGCGUAAAGCGCUCGUAGGCGGGAUCGAUAGUCCGUGAAGAAAGACCUGGGCUCAACUCAGGGAACGGCACGGAUACUUCGAUUCUUGAGGCAAUCAGAGGGUGAUGGAAUUCCCGGUGUAGCGGUGAAAUGCGUAGAUAUCGGGGGGAACACCAGUGGCGAAGGCGAUCACCUGGGGUUGUUCUGACGCUGAGGAGCGAAAGCUAGGGGAGCAAACGGGAUUAGAUACCCCGGUAGUCCUAGCCGUAAACGAUGGAUACUAGGUGUAUGUGGUAUCGACUCCAUCUGUGCCGCAGUUAACACAAUAAGUGUCCCGCCUGGGGAGUACGGCCGCAAGG
Molecule: ribosomal RNA, 522 nt
Filed under: uncultured bacterium
Lineage: Bacteria
Description: bacterial SSU rRNA
Rfam family: Bacterial small subunit ribosomal RNA
Source: RNAcentral